GUUUGAAGUUUUUGGUGAUUUCUUUGUUUGCUUUGUUGAGGUAAACUUGUGAGGUUUUGGAAAUUUUCUCCAAAUCUGGCAAAAAUGUUUCAUGGAAUUUGGAGGGUAAGUCUCUGAAUUCAGAAAUCAUGUCAUCAUCUUCAUCUUCUAGCCAGCUGUACUGUGAUUUUUUCUGUGGUUUCUUGACUGCAGGGGUUUGGAUUUUAGUAAUUGGGGUUUUGGAUUUGGACUCGCUGCUGUCUUUUUUCAGUUGGGUUUUAAUGGUUUUGGUUGUUUUGUCUGUUUGCUGAAUUUUACUGAUUGAGGUUUUAGAUUUAGACUGAUUGAUGCCUUUUUCCAAUUGGGUAUUAGUUGAUUUGAUUGUUUUGUUCUUGGGAGAAGAAGUUGAGCUGAUUUUGGGUAGAUCUGAGGACUUUUUGAAGGUGGAAGAAGUGAUCUUGGUUGAAUU
This 448-nucleotide unclassified non-coding RNA is filed under the name Hevea brasiliensis (rubber tree). Lineage: Eukaryota; Viridiplantae; Streptophyta; Magnoliopsida; Malpighiales; Euphorbiaceae. The record is from RNAcentral.